UACGGAGGAUGCGAGCGUUAUCCGGAUUUAUUGGGUUUAAAGGGUGCGUAGGCGGGAUGCCAAGUCAGCGGUAAAAAUGCGGUGCUCAACGCCGUCGAGCCGUUGAAACUGGCGUUCUUGAGUGGGCGAGAAGUAUGCGGAAUGCGUGGUGUAGCGGUGAAAUGCAUAGAUAUCACGCAGAACUCCGAUUACGAAGGCAGCAUACCGGCGCCCUACUGACGCUGAGGCACGAAAGCGUGGGUAUCGAACAGG
Molecule: ribosomal RNA, 252 nt
Filed under: uncultured bacterium
Lineage: Bacteria
Description: partial 16S ribosomal RNA
Rfam family: Bacterial small subunit ribosomal RNA
Source: RNAcentral